UUAAAGUUUUAUUUUGGCUUGUAAUUUAACUUUAUUAUUUAUUUAUAUAUAAAUUUUAUUAUAAAGAAAAAAAAUAUAGUAUGUAGAUUUAAAUUUUAAGGUUACUUAGAUUUAGAAAUUAAAUUUAAUAUAAACUAAAUUUGUGCCAGCAGUUGCGGUUAUACAAAUUAUAUAAGUUAAAUUUAUUUAGUAUAAUUAAAUAAAAAAUAUUAUAAUUUAAUAUUAAAUUUUUGGGGUGAAAUUUAAAAUUUAAGUUAUUUAUUAAAAUGUUUUUGAAGUUAACAAAUUUUUUUUUAAACUAGGAUUAGAUACCCUAUUAUUUAAAAUGUAAUUUUUAUUCUAUAAUUAUUAAUAGUUAUGAUCUUUAAAAUUAAAAAUUUUGGCGGUAUUUUAGUCUUUUCAGAGGAACCUGUUUUUUAAAAUGAUAGUCCACGAUUAAUUUUAUUUUUAUUUUAAAUUUGUAUAUCGUCGUGAUUGAAUAUUUUAUUAGAAUUUUAAUAUUCAAGAUUUUUUUGAAAAAUUAAUUCAGAUCAAGGUGCAGUUUAUAUAAAAGUUAAAAUGGGUUACAUUAAUAUUAAUUUUGGUUUUUUAAUUUAAAAUUAAAAUUAAAUUGGAUUUGAAAGUAAAAAUAUAUUUAUAUUUAUUUUGAAUAAGCUCUAAAAUAUGCACAUAUCGCCCGUCGCUUUCAUUUAAUAUGGAAUAAGUCGUAACAAAGUAGGCUUAUUGGAAAAUGAGCCUGGAAAGUC
RNAcentral lists this non-coding RNA (746 nucleotides) under Anthicidae sp. DPP-2018. Lineage: Eukaryota; Metazoa; Arthropoda; Insecta; Coleoptera; Anthicidae. The record is from RNAcentral.